This 124-nucleotide small RNA is filed under the name Marmota monax (woodchuck). The record is from RNAcentral. Lineage: Eukaryota; Metazoa; Chordata; Mammalia; Rodentia; Sciuridae.
GCUGGGCGUGGUGGUGCACGCCUGUAAUCCCAGCCACUUGGGAGGCUGAGACAGAAGGAUUGAGAGUUCAGAGCAGCCUCAGCAACGGUGAGGCACCAAGCAACUCAUUGAGACCCGGUCUCCA